RNAcentral lists this non-coding RNA (80 nucleotides) under Blautia hydrogenotrophica. RNAcentral describes it as "ZTP sequence". It matches the Rfam family "ZMP/ZTP riboswitch aptamer (pfl RNA motif)". From Rfam's summary of the family: Previously known as pfl RNA. The record is from RNAcentral. RNAcentral also lists the same sequence under 1 other name. Lineage: Bacteria; Bacillati; Bacillota; Clostridia; Lachnospirales; Lachnospiraceae.
UCAUAACUGCAUGACUGGCGGAAGUAGGAAAACUACAGGGAGUGCAGUGAAGUAGAAUGUCGACCGCCUGGGCAACCGUU